AUGUAUUCUCUUGAGAAACAUGACACCUUAAAAACUAUACACGGGACACUGUAUAUUGAACUCAACAACAAAAGUUUGGGUUCUAUUAAGUUGAAUAUCAUCAACCUAACUUGGAAACAUAAAAUUGUUACUGCCAGAGUUCGUACUUCCAUAUAUGUUGUGCCUCCUUUCAUCUUCUCUACAAUUGGGUACUCGAGAUUGAAGCUGAUUCUGCCUCCAACCUUUACUGGGACAAAAAAGACCAUUUCACUGUCGAGAAUUACAACAGUGCUCAGUUUCAUCAACUAUUCAUUUCUCAUAUUCAUUACUCUAGUAAUGGUUACUUUGCUCCUAAACUGGUAG
RNAcentral lists this ribosomal RNA (342 nucleotides) under Triticum aestivum (bread wheat). RNAcentral's name for it is "partial small subunit ribosomal RNA". The record is from RNAcentral. Lineage: Eukaryota; Viridiplantae; Streptophyta; Magnoliopsida; Poales; Poaceae.